This 357-nucleotide ribosomal RNA is filed under the name Triticum aestivum (bread wheat). Its description in RNAcentral is "partial small subunit ribosomal RNA". The record is from RNAcentral. Lineage: Eukaryota; Viridiplantae; Streptophyta; Magnoliopsida; Poales; Poaceae.
UCAGUCAUCAAAAUAGGUUUUGGCUUGUAUCCUCCUUGUAGUGUUGCUAAUGUAUUUAUCAACUGGUUGCAUGGGAUUGAUCACAGGUUUAGAACUCUUCUCAGGGUGGGAGCGCUUGCCGUUAUUUGGUCGCUUUGGCUAUGUAGAAACGAUAAGGUUUACGAUGAUAAAAGUACUUCUCUGAUGCAGGUUAUCUACAGAUGUACCGGGACUCUUCGUUUAUGGUCCUCUCUACAACGCAUGAAGAAUCGAGACCUGUUUACGGAGGUGUGUACACGAUUGGAGGCUACGGCGAGGGAUACUUUUACCCAACAUGGAUGGCAGCAUGAUCUUAGGAUUGACCCCCCUAUGCUUUAG